RNAcentral lists this ribosomal RNA (430 nucleotides) under uncultured Acidobacterium sp. RNAcentral describes it as "bacterial SSU rRNA". It matches the Rfam family "Bacterial small subunit ribosomal RNA", at positions 958 to 1385 of the family's 1533-position model. Lineage: Bacteria; Pseudomonadati; Acidobacteriota; Terriglobia; Terriglobales; Acidobacteriaceae. The record is from RNAcentral.
AACGCGAAGAACCUUACCUGGGCUCGAACGGCUUUGGAACAUCUUUGGAAACAGAGACUUCUCGCAAGAGACCGGAGUCGAGGUGCUGCAUGGCUGUCGUCAGCUCGUGUCGUGAGAUGUUGGGUUAAGUCCCGCAACGAGCGCAACCCUUGUCCUGUGUUGCCACUCCCGUAAGGGAAGCACUCUCAGGAGACCGCCAGCGAUAAGUUGGAGGAAGGUGGGGAUGAUGUCAAGUCAUCAUGGCCUUUAUGUCCAGGGCUACACACGUGCUACAAUGGACGGUACAAAGCGCCGCAAACCCGCGAGGGGGAGCCAAUCGCAAAAAACCGUUCUCAGUUCGGAUCGCAGGCUGCAACUCGCCUGCGUGAAGCUGGAAUCGCUAGUAAUGGCGUAUCAGAACGAUGCCGUGAAUACGUUCCCGGGCCUUGUA